Molecule: ribosomal RNA, 226 nt
Filed under: uncultured bacterium
Lineage: Bacteria
Description: partial 16S ribosomal RNA
Rfam family: Bacterial small subunit ribosomal RNA
Source: RNAcentral
GAUCUAGCUCAGGAUGAACGCUAGCUACAGGCUUAACACAUGCAAGUCGAGGGGCAGCAUGGUCUUAGCUUGCUAAGGCUGAUGGCGACCGGCGCACGGGUGAGUAACACGUAUCCAACCUGCCGUCUACUCUUGGCCAGCCUUCUGAAAGGAAGAUUAAUCCAGGAUGGCAUCAUGAGUUCACAUGUCCGCAUGAUUAAAGGUAUUUUCCGGUAGACGAUGGGGA